AAGUCGUAACAAGGUUUCCGUAGGUGAACCUGCGGAAGGAUCAUUAAUGAAAUAACCAUGGCGUUGGUUGUAGCUGGCUCCUAGGAGCAUGUGCACACCCGUCAUUCUUAUCUUUCCACCUGUGCACUUAAUGUAGGUCUGGAUAACUCUCGCUCAUACCGAGCGGAUGCAGGGAUUGCCGUGUCGAAAGACCGGCUCUCUUUGAAUUUCCAGGUCUAUGUACCUUUACAAACUCCAAUUGUAUGAUAAUGAAUGUAGUCAAUGGGCUUUCAAGCCUAUAAAACAAAAUACAACUUUCAGCAACGGAUCUCUUGGCUCUC
This 320-nucleotide unclassified non-coding RNA is filed under the name Psathyrella piluliformis. RNAcentral's name for it is "partial internal transcribed spacer region". The stretch from base 1 to 46 matches the Rfam family "Eukaryotic small subunit ribosomal RNA", at positions 1786 to 1831 of the family's 1831-position model. The record is from RNAcentral. Lineage: Eukaryota; Fungi; Basidiomycota; Agaricomycetes; Agaricales; Psathyrellaceae.